UUUAAAAAAAAUUUUAAGUUUUCGUCUUAUUGAUAUGAAUUUUCAUUUAACAUA
RNAcentral lists this transfer RNA (54 nucleotides) under Antarctonemertes valida. RNAcentral describes it as "tRNA-Glu". Lineage: Eukaryota; Metazoa; Nemertea; Enopla; Monostilifera; Oerstediidae. The record is from RNAcentral.